CGCAGCAAGGGCCAGACUCUGCGCUAGCAGGCGCUGCGCGCCAACCGGCCGGCACCUGUCGCAGAAGGUGCAACCGAUCGCACUGUCGCGCAGAAGCUCCUCAAUGGCCAGCGCCAGCUGCAGCCCCGGCCGCCCACUCGCCUCAUCUGAGCCUGGGCAAAUCUGGAUUGGGAAAGUUGACAUUAAUCAACUCAUUAUUCCUCACAGAUUUGUAUUCUCCAGAGUAUCCAGGUCCUUCUCAGAGAAUUAAAAAGCCUGUACAGGUCUAGAUAUUGGUAUUUUUAAUUGAUGAUAAGCUGGAAUAAUAUUAAUACACACAAAGCACGUGUUGUAACUUUCAUUAUGCUUCCUUAGAGCGCUGCUCUAAGCUGUUGAUGAAAAAUAUUGUUGGUGAGCUCUGCUUAGGUAAUAUAUAGGACAUGAGCAGAGAGGAGGCACGUGAACAGUUCUGGCCUGGAGUAGGCUUCAUUGAGGCUGUGAUGCUUUUAGCUGGAUUUGAAGAAGUGGUAGUGAUCAUCCCAGUGCACAGGAUAGGUGGACAGUCUAUGUAUUCUGAGCAGUAACUCAUAUAUCUCAUACUGCAAGACCCCAAAGGAGUAAUUUUGUGAACUCUGUUCACGGAAAGGGCCUGGGAGCUGCAACACCUCAACAGCAACAAGCACACCUGCUACCUAGAACUUGGUUUCUAAAAACCAUCCUCCUCUAAAAGGAAACAGAGCUCUUUGAAGAAACGCAGAAGGUAAGCAUGAGCAAAUUACUUUUUAGAGGUAACUUUGCUGAACUUGUGAAGAAUGGUGUGCAAGGUCCAGAGCGACUGCAGGAGAGGGAAGGUGGGAUUCCCACAGAGCAGGAGCACAGAUAAGCCAAGCAAGGCCCUGCUUGGAAGGCAGCAAUCAACAGAGAUGCACAGACCUGUGAGGGUGCCGGGACAGCCAUGCAACAAUGCAGCCCUUUUGCUUCCUGAGCUCACCAGUUCCCUCGCUCCACCUCUGAGAGGUGGUUUGGAGAAACACAGCCCUUCUCAAGAGGGCUGCAAGCUACUUAAGUCCUGAAAAUUUCCACAAGGCUGAGUCAAAUCUGCGUUUCAUCAUCUAUAAGAAAGGUACCUAUCGAGAACACCCUGCUGGCCAGUGUGUAAAUAUCUAAAGGAGGACUCAGAAAACACCGGGGAAGUCCAGCCUGCACGUGGUGGCUGGGCUUCAGUGAAGCAUGCAGCACAACAGGAGUUGUAAGUAGUAGUUACAUCAGCAGCCCUGGAAAUUCUGCUCAGAACCAAACUGAACAAAUAACAUUAUCUAAGGCUUACAAUUAUUUAACUCCCUAAAUUUUCUGUCCUCCCAGUAGCACUUUCAAAUGCCUAAAAGCAAUUAAAAGAAACAUUUUUCCAAU
RNAcentral lists this long non-coding RNA (1389 nucleotides) under Homo sapiens (human). RNAcentral describes it as "HSALNT0289623". Lineage: Eukaryota; Metazoa; Chordata; Mammalia; Primates; Hominidae. The record is from RNAcentral.